AGUGAACGCUGGCGGCGUGCUUAACACAUGCAAGUCGAACGAGAACGGGUUAUAGCUUGCUAUAAUUGUCAGCUAAGUGGCGCACGGGUGAGUAAUGUAUAGGUAAUAUGCCUCUUACUAAGGGAUAACAAAUGGAAACGUUUGCUAAUACCUUAUACUCCUUAUUAACAUAAGUUAAUAAGGGAAAGAUUUAUUGGUAAGAGAUUAGCCUGUAUUGUAUCAGUUAGUUGGUGGGGUAAUGGCUUACCAAGACUAUGACACAUAACUGGUUUGAGAGGAUGAUCAGUCACACUGGAACUGGGACACGGUCCAGACUCGUACGGGAGGCAGGCGUGGGGACUAUUGCACAAUGGACGAAGGUCUGAUGCAGCAACGCCGCGUGGAGGAUGACACAUUUCGGUGCGUAAACUCCUAUUAUAUGAGAAGAUAAUGACGGUAUUAUAUGAAUAAGCACCGGCUAACUCCGUGCCAGCCGCCGCAGUAA
Molecule: ribosomal RNA, 484 nt
Filed under: uncultured bacterium
Lineage: Bacteria
Description: partial 16S ribosomal RNA
Rfam family: Bacterial small subunit ribosomal RNA
Source: RNAcentral